RNAcentral lists this long non-coding RNA (619 nucleotides) under Homo sapiens (human). Its description in RNAcentral is "HSALNT0401150". Lineage: Eukaryota; Metazoa; Chordata; Mammalia; Primates; Hominidae. The record is from RNAcentral.
AUUUCACCAAAAGAGAAGACAUUAGCAUGGAGAAGGCAAUAUGAAGAUAGAGACAAUGGAGAUUUUAAAACGUUGAUUGGUGGAGACUGGAAAGUUGUGGUCAGAAGCCAAGGAAUGCUGACAGCCACCAUAAACUGGAAGAGGGUCUUGCUCUAUUGCACAGGAGUGCAGUGGUACAAUCAUGGCUGUCUGCGGCCUCAAUCUCCCUGGCUUAAGCAAUCCUCCUGCCUCAGCCUCCCAAAGUAGCUGGGACUACAGGAAAAGUGUCAGGCCCAUUGAAGUUACCACGUGCCAUGGCUGUGAGUGCCUUCACUACUUGGAGUAGGCUCAUCAGUAGACAACCCUCCCAGAGCUCUACGUGCAGCCGGCAUCUGCGCGGUCUGUUAGGAGAUGAGGUGUCGCUAUGUUGGCCAGGCUGAUCUUGAACUCCUGGCUUCAAGAGAUCAUCCUGCCUCGGCUUCCUAAAGUGCUGGGAUUACAGAGGAAAGGCCAUGUGAGGACACAUCAAGAAGGUGGCCAUCUGCAAGCCAGGAAGUGAGGCCUCACCAGACGCCAGCCCUGCUGACUCCUGAUCUUGGACUUUCAGCCUCCAGGACAGAAAUAAAUUUCUAUUGUUUAA